CAAUACCCUGUUCCAUCAACGGCGUGUUACUCAGAUUCUACACUGGUAUCCAACUAGCUCAUCCUAUCUGGAAUUCUUGCUCAGAAAUCCUGUUCAACCCAAGAUAGGGACGUUUUAAGGAUGGAUCAAUCAAGUUCCUGACCAGACUGAAGGCCUGAAGGAGGCUCAGAAGUAAUGGAAAGAUCAGGGCUCUGCUCUGCCUGACUGGGCAGUGCCAGACGUCGGGUUUCUACAAACUAUUAUCAGCUCCUCAUUCUCCUCAGCCCCAUGAAUCCAAAGCUUAGGACUAUGGCGGACGGGAGAGGGUUCCACCAGCCUGCUGAAGGAGGAGACUUUGUUAAUGAGGAUGUGCAUAUGCAGAAACUGUCAAGGAGCCUCCAGAACCAGAAUGAUGAUGCAAAGGGGACAGUUCCCAAAGCAGUAACUCUGACCCAGGAUGCUGGGCAUGCUGGGGUGAAGGUAUAAGGCAAGGUUCAAAGCUACAUCUGGAUCCAAGUGAAUCUGACAAUCUGGAAACCAUCAUGACUCUUAGCAUUUCCAUUCUACCAGCUAGAGUUUUUUUAGGAUCUCUCCAACCUGCCAUUGAGGUAAAUCUUGUGACUGCUUGCCUAGAGCAUGCAUUGCCUAAAGACGUUUACAGCCCAACCCAUCAGUCCAGUCCUUGAGAGCAGAGGUCCCAUUUCCUAACAGAGGUCACUACCAUUCAAUAUGUGAAUGUGCACCCCUAUCUUGGAACUGCAGGAACCAAGGAAAGGAGGGAAGACUCCUAGUUUACAUGCCUUGAUGUGGUGAGCACAUCUGAGGAAGAAAGCUGGAAGAAAGAUUCAUGCUCAGCCUCAGUGUCUGGAAUGGAUAACCUCUGAGAUUCCUUUCUCUUCAGACAUCCUAAGACACUAAGGUCCUGGGAAGGCUUCUGGCAGGUCCUAAACCAGGAGUGAGCAGCAGCUCACAAUCCCUGUAGUCUGGCUGCUUCUCGGGAAAAGUGGCCCCACUGUCUAUUCUCUCCUGUUUAUGCAGGUUUAGCACUGUGCCCUGAUUUGAGAGUUCUUGGACACUGUUUCUUGGUUGGGAUAAUAACGAUCUUGACCCCCUCAGGUCAGUGGGAGCUAAUACAAGAGUCCACCUUGUGGACAGACUACCUGUAUGACAGGCGCAGUGGCUCUAAUCCUGGUCCAUGUGGCAUUGUCCCCUUGGCUGACUGCCCUUCUCCCUCAGCUCCCGGCAUCAUCCCCAGGCCCCAUCUGAGCUGAGCACCUACCUAAAA
Mustela erminea (ermine) is the source of this 1264-nucleotide long non-coding RNA. RefSeq lists it as uncharacterized. Lineage: Eukaryota; Metazoa; Chordata; Mammalia; Carnivora; Mustelidae. The record is from RefSeq and is a predicted model, not a curated record. The transcript is spliced from 4 exons.